RNAcentral lists this small RNA (294 nucleotides) under Mesocricetus auratus (golden hamster). RNAcentral describes it as "7SK RNA (ENSMAUG00000003875.1)". The stretch from base 1 to 107 matches the Rfam family "7SK RNA", at positions 1 to 108 of the family's 331-position model. The record is from RNAcentral. Lineage: Eukaryota; Metazoa; Chordata; Mammalia; Rodentia; Cricetidae.
GGAUGUGAGGGCAAUCUGGCUGCAACAUCUGUCACCCCAUGUGUCACCAGGGUUAAUUUGGCUGACGUGGCUGUUUAGGUAGUGUCUCCUGCCUCCCUCACCUCCCCAGAUGCAACUCUCUUAGUCAAAGACAAUGAUACCUGACCUACAUACAGUAGGAUACCUGACUCAGUGCACACUACAGAGAUCACACAAGUGCUGAAAAUCCUCAGGUCAAGUGGUCAGGAUGUACGGUGCUGAGUAAAAGGUCAUACUUAGGAUGAAACACGAGGAACAGCUCAUGUAUUUCCUCUU